This is a long non-coding RNA of Triticum aestivum (bread wheat), 1662 nucleotides long. RefSeq lists it as uncharacterized. Lineage: Eukaryota; Viridiplantae; Streptophyta; Magnoliopsida; Poales; Poaceae. The transcript has 5 exons. The record is from RefSeq and is a predicted model, not a curated record.
GGGAGCAUAACAUGGAUGUGGGGCAGGAGAGGCCGUGGUCGGAGCGGCAUUGCGUGGGCAUAUUGGGUAUUAUUUGAGCUGAUACUCCAUUUUCUUACAAGAGAUGUGGUCCCAUCAAUGUUGGCUGUCGAAUUUGUGCUGCAGUCCAUGCCCACCACGUCCGAGUCUUCGCCCCUUCGUCAUCCAACACAAACAGCAGAACAGAGUAGCAGUUGUGAUUUGCCAGGUUGGAGAACUGACGCAGCUUGCUGUCACAGAGUGCUCGCCCUUCUUCUGUGCCAUAAAGCCCCUCGGUCGAAACUUGCAAAUCAAAAUUGCCGACCCUGUCAAUCUCGCUGGAACGACGUCUAGCUCGUUGUGCUCCACUCACUGUAAGUACCUUGACCUCUGCUUAUUCUGAACCAUUUAUUUAUCUGUUUGGGCUGUAAUUUGUAAGUUUGCUUUCUUAGUAAAGAACUAAAUAAAGCUUUGCUGCUGAUGACUAUUUUCUUGGAUAAGAUUAUAUUCUUUAGAUUGUGAUCUGACCUAUUUGUGAUUUCUAUCUCAGCUAACGGCAUAUCUCAUAACUAAAGCUAUGAACAAGUGCUUCAGUUAUGUUGGUGGCAAUACAUUGCUUGAGGUGACCUCGUGUGCAAGAUUAUCCCCAUGGAGGGCGCUAGCACGGAGACAUUUGCUCACAUCAGUACUAUGAGCAGCCUGGUUGGGUGGUGACGUUUCCGAGUGGCCAAGCAAGAGCUUUUUUUGGUCUACACCUAUGCAGUGGUGACUUCUGCUACAAUGUGCAUCAACACCAGAACCAUGUUCCUGAUCAUGGACGCUGUUGUGUCCCUCACCGGCUCUCUCCUUGCCAUCACCGACAGGGUUGUGCAGGCCACUACUCGCGCAACUACUUUGCAGUGUGGAGCAUGCCAUCGAGAUAGACCAAAAGAAGAACACCGCCGGCAACAACACCAAUGGGGGCCUCCCUGGUUUCCACCACCGCCGUUGCCAUCGUCGCCCUCCCCGCCGCCCCACACCACACUGCCAGAUAGGUCUGUGUGCUUUGCCCUUGCCCCCUGCUUAUUGCACUCAGGAUGUGUUGGUGCCAUGCUUUGCCUAUAUGUAAUCUCCUAUUCUGUUGUAAAAUUCUUUUUGCUUAUGAUUUCUUACUGUAGUGUGAAAUUCUAAUUGCUUGGGUUGUUACUGCUAUGCAAAUAUAUUGCUAUAUUUUAGGUUUGUUACUUUAGUCUCUCUUCCUCCCUUGUUUUAUAAUGGCAUGAAAUUCUAUUUUGCUGCAAGAUCGAAGAGAUUUUUUUGAACACAAUCUGUGUCGUGAGGACUGAAUUACUUGUAGCUAUGAUAUCUUUUAAUUUUGGUCAUCUGUAUUUUACAGGAGUUCCAGUGUAUAUUUAUUUUUCAUCCUUAUCAAAAUAAGGAUGCACCUUGAAUUAUAUGCAGUUUUGAAGACCAUCGUUUGGAAUUUUAUGCAGUUUCUUUUGAUGAAAAUAUUUAGUUUGUCGUAAAAUUCCAAUGAAUACAAUUCUGGAUGAGGACAGAAUAAUGUGUAGCUAUGAUGGAUGUUCUUAUUCCAGUGACUCAUCAUCCGGAGAUAAUAGUAAGAUGAAUUAUCAAUUAUGGCUUUCUUUCAAUAUAUCAUACCGAACGUUCAUCCUUUGGGCAGCA